UGAACGCUGGCGGCAGGCCUAACACAUGCAAGUCGAGCGGUAGAGAGAAGCUUGCUUCUCUUGAGAGCGGCGGACGGGUGAGUAAUGCCUAGGAAUCUGCCUGGUAGUGGGGGAUAACGUUCGGAAACGGACGCUAAUACCGCAUACGUCCUACGGGAGAAAGCAGGGGACCUUCGGGCCUUGCGCUAUCAGAUGAGCCUAGGUCGGAUUAGCUAGUUGGUGGGGUAAUGGCUCACCAAGGCGACGAUCCGUAACUGGUCUGAGAGGAUGAUCAGUCACACUGGAACUGAGACACGGUCCAGACUCCUACGGGAGGCAGCAGUGGGGAAUAUUGGACAAUGGGCGAAAGCCUGAUCCAGCCAUGCCGCGUGUGUGAAGAAGGUCUUCGGAUUGUAAAGCACUUUAAGUUGGGAGGAAGGGUUGUAGAUUAAUACUCUGCAAUUUUGACGUUACCGACAGAA
Molecule: ribosomal RNA, 461 nt
Filed under: Pseudomonas sp. E140
Lineage: Bacteria; Pseudomonadati; Pseudomonadota; Gammaproteobacteria; Pseudomonadales; Pseudomonadaceae
Description: bacterial SSU rRNA
Rfam family: Bacterial small subunit ribosomal RNA
Source: RNAcentral